RNAcentral lists this ribosomal RNA (253 nucleotides) under uncultured bacterium. RNAcentral's name for it is "partial 16S ribosomal RNA". It matches the Rfam family "Bacterial small subunit ribosomal RNA", at positions 524 to 776 of the family's 1533-position model. The record is from RNAcentral.
UACGGGGGGGGCAAGCGUUGUUCGGAAUUACUGGGCGUAAAGGGCUCGUAGGUGGCCAACUAAGUCAGACGUGAAAUCCCUCGGCUUAACCGGGGAACUGCGUCUGAUACUUGAUGGCUUGAGAUUGGGAGAGGGAUGCGGAAUUCCAGGUGUAGCGGUGAAAUGCGUAGAUAUCUGGAGGAACACCGGUGGCGAAGGCGGCAUCCUGGACCAACACUGACACUGAGGAGCGAAAGCCAGGGGAGCAAACGGG